AUGCCUGUGUGACAUGACCUCAACUUACAAAGUCUUUUUGUCCCACUAGGUUUUCUCAUAUGGAACAGUUUUUUAUUCAACACUCUACUGUAAUAUAAUGCAGAAAGGAGUUACUGGCAAAAUUCCUUUGAUGUGCAUUGUAUACAGCUCAUCUUUGGAUACCACUUCAAGCACUAUCCAUAACAAUCUUAUAAAAUUCCGAAAUGAUCCUCCCUGUAAGAAUUCUCAUUCUGCCUGGAACUUAACCAACACUUGUCUAUUUGGAUUGCCUUGGAUUCCGUAUUUUCAAGACUCCUUGGUAGAGGCAUCUCAUCAGUCACUUCUGCUUAGUAUGCCUCAUCCAUUAGUCCACGAGAGCGCAAAUGUAGCUAUAUUCUAGGUUCUUGCAUCACAAUCCUGAUAACUCUGUUGCCAUAUCUUCCUUAAAAUUUCAUUUUUGAACCACUCACUACAGAUUUCAUCACUUUUUGGUGCCACUUCCUGAGAGGACAUUGGAUUGUGUAGUGCCCAUUGCUUCAUAUGUUUUUUAAAAGUGUUCCUUUUAAACAAAGGCCAUGAUGCCCUUGCAUAGUCUCUUAUAAUAAGAUGUCUAUGUAUCAUUUUUAGAUGUGGAGUUGAUCUUACAAAUAAAAUGUGUU
Molecule: long non-coding RNA, 638 nt
Filed under: Saimiri boliviensis boliviensis (Bolivian squirrel monkey)
Lineage: Eukaryota; Metazoa; Chordata; Mammalia; Primates; Cebidae
Description: lncRNA (ENSSBOG00000036676.1)
Source: RNAcentral